This 1386-nucleotide unclassified non-coding RNA is filed under the name Zea mays. RNAcentral describes it as "misc RNA Zm00001eb050920". Lineage: Eukaryota; Viridiplantae; Streptophyta; Magnoliopsida; Poales; Poaceae. The record is from RNAcentral.
UGGCUGGCCUGGCGCCGCACCAGGUGGCCGCGCACCAGCGCCUGCAGCUUGACGAGCCCGCGCAGCGCGCACAGCGCCUUCCUCGCCUGCAGCCAGAGUGUGGCAGACACACAGAAAGAGACGUCACGGCACGUCACGCAGCCCAAGGAUCGAAGUGAUACGAUUGAGGUGAAGUCAGCACUCAGCAGUGGAUACGACGAUGCGAUACCGAUACGACUAACGAGCGAGGUCAAGUCAACUGAUAGCCAGCCUAGUACUUACCAGGUAGGAUCUGAAGACGGCCUGGAUCUUUAUCGCGGCGGCCUCCUCGAUUCCGAUGACGGUGCGCUUGGACCCCGGCGCGGACAUGGAGAGCCUGGCGGCGACGGCGGCGGCCUGCUUAGCCGCCAUGGCCGCCUCGGCCGCGGCGGCGGUGGCGAUGGCGACGGCGAUGGCGUGCUGGUCCGGGUCCACCCGCGGCUCAAGGAAGCCGUAGGGCGCGAGGUGGCCCCGCGCGACGUCCUUGGCCGCCGCCGCCGACCCGGGCCCGGGCGACGCCGCCGCGGCCGGGCGGCGGAAGCUCCACCUCCGCUUCUCCUUGGCGCCGGGCGUGGACCCCGGCGUCGUGGCGACUCCCGGCAGCGGCAGCGCCAGCGCCAGGUCGGGCUCCGCCGCCGGCGCGAGCGCCCCGGCCUUGUUGUCCCUGCCCCUCCUGCUGCCCGGGAGGAAGCUUCUGAGCCACUUGCCCGCCUUGCCCAUCUGCGGACGAGUGGCGGCGCCGGCGGCGCAGAAUCAGAAGGCGUCACUGAGCGGCCGCAUCGGAGGCGGCUUGCAGAGGAAGAGAGUAUAGAGAGCGGAUGAAGGUACUGGUUGGCCUGACGCUCACGGCACGGCGAGGUCCGGCAUGUGGCAGCUGCGUGCGGAAGCAGUGGCUGUGGAUGACUAUGAGUGCAGCGGAGGGGAAGCCGGGAGCGGAAAGGAAUGGAAUGGAAUAUAUUAGAGGCAGCAGCGGGCGCCAUGGCCAUGUGCGCGGUGCAGCGCUGCGCGCGGCAGAUCACGCCGGCAAUAACUAGUAGGAGGCCAGGACCAGGACCAGGACCCGGGACCAGGACGAGCGGCAGCCGGCAGGGGAUCCAGUCCAGGCGGGCACGCACGUCGAUGGCGCGCUCACGGUUCGUUUCGCAGGCAACAGCCAACAACAGCGCAUCCACGUGUCAUGAUGUGAGGAAGCGAAUGGGAUUCUGGAGCUCCGAAAGCUGAAUGAACGGAUGGUCGAUUGUUGAGAGGGGGGUUGGUGCUGAUUGCUCGUCAAAUGUUGAUUUGGAUGUUGAGAGCUACUAAGUGUAUAGCAAGCAUUGAGCGAGCCAGAGACUGCGACUGACAGUCCAUGCCAUGAGCCAUAUCGUC